AAUGACUUGAGAGUAUCUCUUGUUCCUCCUUCUAUCCCCUCGCAUGCUCCCUUUGUCUCACUCUGUUCUUCCUCGAAUUUUAAUCAUGUUAGUGAUGUGGAGCAUCCCACGGACAUCACCAUAUCAAGUGCCCCAUCGUCAAGAGACGCACGCAUAUCCCACAUCAUAUAAGGUUAAUCUUAUCCUUUACACAUGUCUAGUUUGCUCUCUCGAGGGUGGUAUACUACUUGACUCUCCUACCUUGUUCACCUUUAGGUCUGAGCCGAAUGUCACACUUGGCACGGAGAAGGUCAAGCACAAGAGAACAAAUAUGUCAUCCAAGAGGGAAGCAUGGAAUCGGAGAAGGAACCAUCAAGAGAAAGGCCAGAUUUGGGAAGCAUCGACAAGCGUCCACGCGAACUCCAGCAGCUAAUUAAGAAGCUCUCUAAAAAUCCCGUGGUCAUGGGCCACUGGACCCCCGUCCCCACAGGGUCUUGCCACCAACCUCUCUGGAAUCUCAGUGCCCAUGGGCCUGCCUGCAAGCAGCUGUUGGAAAAUGCCCAUGUAUUUUAGCUCAUCACUUGGGCAAUGCCCAUGUAUUCUUGUCUUUUUUCCCUCACUUGCCCUUUCAUGCCUAGGACUAUAUAUACCUCUCCCCCCCCCCUCAGAUAUAGGGUUAGUCGAGACAAGAAUAGACAUUCAUAGAUCUUAGCUCAUUCGCCUCUCAUUGUGGGUUUCCUCCUAGUGGAGAAGACUCCAAUGGAAUAGAAGGCCACCCACCAAGUGAAGACUCCAAGGAGUACAGGGCCACCUAUUGGAUGAAAGCUCCAUGAGCACAAGACCAGCUUCCAUGGACAAGAUUUCCCAUGUGGAACUCAAGCGCUCCUUGUCUUAGGACUUGGGGAAGAACUCUAUCAUGGUCCAUCUCUCUCUUAUGGAUGAUUUGGUUCAAGGAUUUACCUAUGUGUGUCUUGUACUGAAUCAAUGUGUGUUGAU
This 975-nucleotide ribosomal RNA is filed under the name Triticum aestivum (bread wheat). RNAcentral describes it as "partial small subunit ribosomal RNA". The record is from RNAcentral. Lineage: Eukaryota; Viridiplantae; Streptophyta; Magnoliopsida; Poales; Poaceae.